This 439-nucleotide ribosomal RNA is filed under the name uncultured bacterium. RNAcentral's name for it is "partial 16S ribosomal RNA". It matches the Rfam family "Bacterial small subunit ribosomal RNA", at positions 339 to 795 of the family's 1533-position model. The record is from RNAcentral.
CUACGGGUUGCAGCAGUGGGGAAUAUUGGACAAUGGGCGAAAGCCUGAUCCAGCCAUGCCGCGUGAGUGACGAAGGCCUUAGGGUUGUAAAGCUCUUUUGGCGGGGACGAUAAUGACGGUACCCGCAGAAUAAGUCCCGGCUAACUUCGUGCCAGCAGCCGCGGUAAUACGAAGGGGACUAGCGGUGUUCGGAAUUACUGGGCGUAAAGCGCACGUAGGCGGAUUUGUAAGUCAGGGGUGAAAUCCCGGGGCUCAACCUCGGAACGGCCUUUGAUACUGCAAGUCUCGAGUCCGAUAGAGGUGGGUGGAAUUCCUAGUGUAGAGGUGAAAUUCGUAGAUAUUAGGAAGAACACCGGUGGCGAAGGCGGCCCACUGGAUCGGUACUGACGCUGAGGUGCGAAAGCGUGGGGAGCAAACAGGAUUAGAUACCCGAGUAGUC